UACGGAGGGUGCGAGCGUUGUCCGGAAUCACUGGGCGUAAAGGGCGCGUAGGCGGCGCGGGUAGUCAACGGUGAAAGCUUGGGGCUCAACCCCGAGUCGGCCGUCGAUACUCCCGCGCUCGAGCACUGUAGAGGCAGGUGGAAUUCCUGGUGUAGCGGUGAAAUGCGUAGAGAUCAGGAAGAACAUCGGUGGCGAAGGCGCUCUGCUGGACCAUAACUGACACUCAGGGACGAAAGCUAGGGGAGCGAAUGGG
RNAcentral lists this ribosomal RNA (253 nucleotides) under uncultured bacterium. RNAcentral describes it as "partial 16S ribosomal RNA". It matches the Rfam family "Bacterial small subunit ribosomal RNA", at positions 524 to 776 of the family's 1533-position model. The record is from RNAcentral.